RNAcentral lists this unclassified non-coding RNA (266 nucleotides) under uncultured fungus. RNAcentral's name for it is "partial contains 5.8S ribosomal RNA, internal transcribed spacer 2, and large subunit ribosomal RNA". The record is from RNAcentral. Lineage: Eukaryota; Fungi.
AACGCAUCUUGCGCCCUUUGGUCACUCCGAAGGGCAUGCCUGUUUGAGAGUCAUUAUUGUUAAUCAAAACUUCAAGUUUUGGAUAUGGGGGGAUUUUGUGCUGGGUGAACCUGGCUCCUCUGAAAUGCAUCAGUGGGAGAGAACAUUUGUUCUUGGCUCUGGUUUGAUAAAAUAUCUAUGCCAUUGCUUUGACAAGCUUUUCCAUGAUUUCUUGUCUCAUUCAAAAACUUGACCUCAAAUCAGGUAGGACUACCCGCUGAACUUAA